This 77-nucleotide transfer RNA is filed under the name Spongiibacter sp. RNAcentral describes it as "tRNA-Arg". It matches the Rfam family "tRNA". From Rfam's summary of the family: Transfer RNA (tRNA) molecules are approximately 80 nucleotides in length. Their secondary structure includes four short double-helical elements and three loops (D, anti-codon, and T loops). The record is from RNAcentral. Lineage: Bacteria; Pseudomonadati; Pseudomonadota; Gammaproteobacteria; Cellvibrionales; Spongiibacteraceae.
GCAACCGUAGCUCAGCUGGAUAGAGCGUUGCCCUCCGGCGGCAAAGGUCAGAGGUUCGAAUCCUCUCGGGCGGGCCA